Long non-coding RNA from Mytilus californianus (California mussel), 357 nucleotides. RefSeq lists it as uncharacterized. NCBI's taxonomy places the organism in Eukaryota, Metazoa, Mollusca, Bivalvia, Mytilida, Mytilidae. The record is from RefSeq and is a predicted model, not a curated record. The transcript is spliced from 2 exons.
CAUCUGACCUUGACCUCAUUUUCAUGGUUCAGUGGUUAUAGUUAAGUUUUUGUGUUUUGGUCUGUUUUUCUUAUACUGUAUGCCAUAGGUCUACUAUAUUUGGUGUAUGGAAUGAUUGUAAGGUGUACAUGUCUAGCGGGCAGGUGUCAUCUGACCUUGACCUCAUUUUCAUGGUUCAGUGGUCAAAGUUAAGUUUUUUGAGUUUUGGUCAUUUUUCUAAUACUAUAUGCAAUAGUUCAACUAUAUUUGGUGUAUGGAAAUAUUUUAUGAUCUAUUUGGCAGUCACACAGGUUUUAUUUAACCUUGACCCCAUUUUCAAGGUUCAUUGCUCAGUGUUAAGUUUUUGUGUUUUGGUCU